GGGUUCAUGGCCUAAUGGUAAGGCGUCAGAUUUCGGUUCUAGUUGCUGUUCUCUGAAGAUUGCAGGUUCGAUCCCUGCUGAGCUCG
Molecule: non-coding RNA, 86 nt
Organism: Daldinia caldariorum
Lineage: Eukaryota; Fungi; Ascomycota; Sordariomycetes; Xylariales; Hypoxylaceae
Source: the annotation of a RefSeq genome assembly